Molecule: ribosomal RNA, 200 nt
Filed under: uncultured bacterium
Lineage: Bacteria
Description: partial 16S ribosomal RNA
Rfam family: Bacterial small subunit ribosomal RNA
Source: RNAcentral
GGCUGCAACUCGCCUACACGAAGCUGGAAUCGCUAGUAAUCGCGGAUCAGCACGCCGCGGCGAAUACGUUCCCGGGCCUUGUACACACCGCCCGUCACACCAUGAGAGUCUGUAACACCCAAAGCCGGUGGGAUAACCUUUAUAGGAGUCAGCCGUCUAAGGUAGGACAGAUGAUUAGGGUGAAGUCGUAACAAGGUAAC